AUUUGUGUGAUGAGGAGAAAGAGUACAAAGAGGAAUUGCCACAAGCGAGGAUGGGAUAGUGGAAGCCAUCGGCGAGGAACUUUUGGAAGUGCGUCUCUGAGCUGAUCGGCAGAACAAAAAGUAUGCCAAUCCGUAUUGACUGCGUUAAAGUUGUAAGCUGGAACGGACAUGUUCGUUCAAACAGAGUGGGACCGCGGAACCUUUCGUCUCUGGA
Molecule: non-coding RNA, 214 nt
Filed under: Desulfosporosinus sp.
Lineage: Bacteria; Bacillati; Bacillota; Clostridia; Eubacteriales; Desulfitobacteriaceae
Description: T-box sequence
Rfam family: T-box leader
About the family: Uncharged tRNA acts as the effector for transcription antitermination of genes in the T-box leader family.
Source: RNAcentral